ACCCUCUCAGGGUCACACCUGGAGAGUUUCCAGUCCUCUACCAAUCUCGACUAUAGGAGGGAGAGUCAAGCAGAGGCAUAUCCAUUCCAUUCCUAGUUUGGCUAGUGGCUAGUCAGUGGAAUAUAAUCUGCUACAAGU
This is a small nucleolar RNA of Tachyglossus aculeatus (Australian echidna), 138 nucleotides long. NCBI's taxonomy places the organism in Eukaryota, Metazoa, Chordata, Mammalia, Monotremata, Tachyglossidae. The record is from RefSeq and is a predicted model, not a curated record.